UACGAAGGGGGCUAGCGUUGUUCGGACUUACUGGGCGUAAAGCGCACGUAGGCGGACUAUUAAGUCAGGGGUGAAAUCCCGGGGCUCAACCCCGGAACUGCCUUUGAUACUGGUAGUCUCGAGUCCGGAAGAGGUGAGUGGAAUUCCGAGUGUAGAGGUGAAAUUCGUAGAUAUUCGGAGGAACACCAGUGGCGAAGGCGGCUCACUGGCCCGGUACUGACGCUGAGGUGCGAAAGCGUGGGGAGCAAACAGG
Molecule: ribosomal RNA, 253 nt
Filed under: uncultured bacterium
Lineage: Bacteria
Description: partial 16S ribosomal RNA
Rfam family: Bacterial small subunit ribosomal RNA
Source: RNAcentral